This 203-nucleotide ribosomal RNA is filed under the name Zasmidium sp. Its description in RNAcentral is "partial large subunit ribosomal RNA". The record is from RNAcentral. Lineage: Eukaryota; Fungi; Ascomycota; Dothideomycetes; Mycosphaerellales; Mycosphaerellaceae.
AAGCGCUUCCAACCAGACUCCGCGGCGGUGUUCCGCCGGUCUUCUGACCGGUCCACUCGCCGCCGUGGGGCCAACAUCGUCUGGGGCCGCCGGAUAAGACCGUGGGAAUGUAGCUCCUAGAGUGUUAUAGCCUGCGGUGAUGCGGCGCGUCCCGGGCGAGGUCUGCGCUUCGGCAAGGAUGUUGGCGUAAUGGUUGGCAGCGG